GUGUGUGUGUGUGUGUGUGUAUUUAGCAGUCUGUGUGUGUAUUCAGCAGACGGUGUAUUCAGCAGUCUGCUACAUACAGACAGACUGCUAAGUACACAGACAGACUG
This is a non-coding RNA of Pelobates cultripes (western spadefoot toad), 107 nucleotides long. The record is from the annotation of a GenBank genome assembly. Lineage: Eukaryota; Metazoa; Chordata; Amphibia; Anura; Pelobatidae.